RNAcentral lists this ribosomal RNA (253 nucleotides) under uncultured bacterium. RNAcentral describes it as "partial 16S ribosomal RNA". It matches the Rfam family "Bacterial small subunit ribosomal RNA", at positions 524 to 776 of the family's 1533-position model. The record is from RNAcentral.
UACGUAGGGUGCAAGCGUUAUCCGGAAUUAUUGGGCGUAAAGAGCUCGUAGGCGGUUUGUCGCGUCUGCUGUGAAAACUGGAGGCUCAACCUCCAGCCUGCAGUGGGUACGGGCAGACUAGAGUGCGGUAGGGGAGACUGGAAUUCCUGGUGUAGCGGUGAAAUGCGCAGAUAUCAGGAGGAACACCGAUGGCGAAGGCAGGUCUCUGGGCAUUAACUGACGCUGAGGAGCGAAAGCAUGGGGAGCGAACAGG